Molecule: long non-coding RNA, 729 nt
Organism: Physeter macrocephalus (sperm whale)
Lineage: Eukaryota; Metazoa; Chordata; Mammalia; Artiodactyla; Physeteridae
Exons: 2
Source: RefSeq, a predicted model, not a curated record
AGCCCGUACCCUGUGAAGAAAGAAACAACCAUCAAGGAAAUGGGGUUGCGGAGAGGGGUGCCCAAGUGAGAUGUAGCAGAGGUCCUGUACCUACCCCAUGAGGGACUCGGGUUAGACACAGGAAGAACUUCCCUGAUGGGGAAGGAGACAAUGAUGGGGCACAGCAAGCACACAGUAAGUGCAAGUUCCUUUUCCCUUGACAUUCAGUUACUCACGGGCUUACCCUGUUUCCUUCGUAACCAUUUCUCUCCCUUGUGCAACUGUUACCUCCUCGACAAAAACUGCAAACUGCUAAAAAACAGUGGCGCCUCUGAAGUGCAUUCACGAUGAGGCCCCCCCAGGGCCCCUUCAGGUGAAAGGCCCCCGAAUCCCAGAGCAAUGACAGUGUCUUCAUCAUCUCUGCACCCCCGAAGGCGUUGAGCCCAGCACCGAGUCCAUGGAAGAUGCUGUGGGCAGGAGAAAAAGGUACCUGGUCCCCACCAGCACUGUCCAGCUGCCCCCUCCCACCAAGAAAAAAAAGAAAGAAAGAAAAGAAGAAGUAACACAAGCAGGAAUUUGAUAGCUGCGGUCUGAGAACACUGGCUUUUUUAAAAACCCGAAGAAGCUGGCCAAGGAUAUUUGAGAUAGGUCCUGUGAUUCUUAUCAGAGAAGUGAGUAUUAAGGCGUUAAUGGCUUGGACUUUGCUUAAGAGCAUCAUGAAUAUAGGCUGUGGGAGGCCGAGGAGUAGAG